This 250-nucleotide unclassified non-coding RNA is filed under the name plant metagenome. RNAcentral's name for it is "partial contains small subunit ribosomal RNA, internal transcribed spacer 1, and 5.8S ribosomal RNA". The record is from RNAcentral.
GUAGGUGAACCUGCGGAAGGAUCAUCGUAUCCAACGUUAAACAACCCCGUGAACCUUCAGCCUGCUCUCGUAGCCCACGCGGCAACAGCAAUCCCGGUAAAUCAUUGACGAACAGUUUUGAUUCGGGACCUCUGUUACGAUGUGAGAAGUUACAGUUACGAUCGAGCGGUAGAGUCAGUGGCAUGGCGUCCCCAAGCAGAAUCCAGAGAAUGAAAGGAUCACUGGCUGCGCAAGGAUAACGCCUCACGGU